This is a non-coding RNA of Dipodomys ordii (Ord's kangaroo rat), 65 nucleotides long. NCBI's taxonomy places the organism in Eukaryota, Metazoa, Chordata, Mammalia, Rodentia, Heteromyidae. The record is from Rfam.
GGUGGCUCAGUGGUAGAGCGCUUGCCUCGCAUGCAUGAGGUCCUGGGUUCGAUUCCUCAGCACCA